This 386-nucleotide ribosomal RNA is filed under the name uncultured bacterium. RNAcentral's name for it is "bacterial SSU rRNA". It matches the Rfam family "Bacterial small subunit ribosomal RNA", at positions 28 to 416 of the family's 1533-position model. The record is from RNAcentral.
GACGAACGCUGGCGGCGUGCUUAACACAUGCAAGUCGAGCGGUAAGGCCCUUUCGGGGGUACACGAGCGGCGAACGGGUGAGUAACACGUGGGUGACCUGCCCUUAGCUCUGGGAUAAGCCUGGGAAACUGGGUCUAAUACCGGAUAUGACUCCAUGACGCAUGUUGUGGGGUGGAAAGCCUUGUGCGGCUAGGGAUGGGCCCGCGGCCUAUCAGCUUGUUGGUGGGGUAACGCCUACCAAGGCAACGACGGAUAGCUGGUCUGAGAGGACGAUCAGCCACACUGGGACUGAGACACGGCCCAGACUCCUACGGGAGGCAGCAGUGGGGAAUCUUGCGCAAUGGGGGAAACCCUGACGCAGCGACGCCGCGUGCGGGAUGAAGGCC